Molecule: ribosomal RNA, 419 nt
Filed under: bacterium
Lineage: Bacteria
Description: partial 16S ribosomal RNA
Rfam family: Bacterial small subunit ribosomal RNA
Source: RNAcentral
UGGGGGAUAUUGCACAAUGGGCGAAAGCCUGAUGCAGCGACGCCGCGUGGGGGAUGAAGGCCUUCGGGUUGUAAACUUCUUUUGCUCUGAACAAGGCGCACCAUGGGGUGUGUUGAGUGUAGGGGUUGAUUAGCGCCGGCUAACUACGUGCCAGCAGCCGCGGUAAUACGUAGGGCGCGAGCGUUGGCCGGAAUUAUUGGGCGUAAAGGGCUUGUAGGUGGAUGGUGGCGUCUGUCGUGAAAGCUCAUGGCUUAACUGUGGGUUUGCGGUGGGUACGGGCUGGCUUGAGUGCAGUAGGGGAGGCUGGAAUUCCUGGUGUAGCGGUGGAAUGCGCAGAUAUCAGGAGGAAUACCGGUGGCGAAGGCGGGUCUCUGGGCUGUUACUGACACUGAGGAGCGAAAGCAUGGGGAGCGAACAGG